GUUGAACAGCCGCGGGCAAGCGCCGAAAGGGCUUGUGCGAGGAAAGUCCGGGCUUCACAGAGCAAUAAUAACGGCUAACAGCCGCCGGGGGCGACCCCAGGGCCAGUGCAACAGAAAAUUACCGCCCGGGCAGCUUUGCCCGGGUAAGGAUGGAAAGGUGAGGUAAGAGCUCACCGGAGGGUGGGAGACCACUCUGCCGUGUAAACCCUAUUUGAAGCAACACCGUGGUAGGACAAAUACGCUUGCUCGGCGUGUCCUUAGGAGGUGGCAUCGAGCGGCACGGGUAACCUGCCGCCAAGAUAGAUGGCUGUUCACGACAGAACCCGGCUUACAGAUGCA
Molecule: RNase P RNA, 339 nt
Filed under: uncultured Ruminococcus sp.
Lineage: Bacteria; Bacillati; Bacillota; Clostridia; Eubacteriales; Oscillospiraceae
Description: Bacterial RNase P class A
Rfam family: Bacterial RNase P class A
About the family: Ribonuclease P (RNase P) is a ubiquitous endoribonuclease, found in archaea, bacteria and eukarya as well as chloroplasts and mitochondria.
Source: RNAcentral